CAGAAAUUAGUUUAUAGAAAAUUAUUCAUUUACAUUGAAUAGAUUUAUAGUGCAAUUCUUAAAUUUUUGA
Molecule: transfer RNA, 70 nt
Filed under: Lopaphus sphalerus
Lineage: Eukaryota; Metazoa; Arthropoda; Insecta; Phasmatodea; Lonchodidae
Description: tRNA-Val
Source: RNAcentral